GGCGAAUCUCGGCGUCUGUUUACAGAAUUCAGAGAAGGAAGCUGAAGAGAAGAGAAUGGCGUCUGUGGUGAGAAGCAUUUUCCAGUCGAUUAAGGAAAAGGGGAUCGGAAACUUCCUCAAGGAGCUUAAACAAGAAGGAUACGUGAGGUGUCUCGCGGAUGGAAAUCUUCUGCAAACCAAGAUCCACAACAUUGGUGCAACACUUGUUGGUGUGGAUAAAUUUGGUAACAAAUAUUAUGAGAAGCUAGGCGAUACACAAUAUGGAAGACACCGGUGGGUGGAGUAUGCACAGAAGAAUCGUUACAAUGCUUCACAAGUUCCACCAGAAUGGCAUGGCUGGCUCCAUCACGUCACUGAUCACACUGGUGAUGAACUGCUACUGCUGAAACCAAAGAGGUACGGGAUUGAGCACAAGGAGAACUUUUCUGGUGAAGGUGAUGCAUACAUAUAUCACUCCAAGGGACACACUUUAAAUCCUGGACAGAGAGACUGGACUAGGUACCAAACUUGGCAACCCACCAAGAAGUAAUAGGUCUCAACUGCCAUAGUGCAGCUGGACAAUUAUAUGGAUUUUCUGCCAUGCUUCGUUAAUAAAAAAGUCCUCGUAUUGAACCUUUGGUUAUAAUCUAAGCACAUGUGUACCAUCAAAUAUCAGGUCGAUACACUUUGCUGUACAAUUUCUCAUCUUUGAUAUGGUUCUCAGGUUUUGAAUUGGAUCCAAAAUGUAGUCAUGCAUACUUUAUUCCAUCGCCGGGUUUGAAGUAUGAUUGUUAUUUUUU
This 779-nucleotide unclassified non-coding RNA is filed under the name Hevea brasiliensis (rubber tree). Lineage: Eukaryota; Viridiplantae; Streptophyta; Magnoliopsida; Malpighiales; Euphorbiaceae. The record is from RNAcentral.